This 497-nucleotide ribosomal RNA is filed under the name uncultured bacterium. RNAcentral's name for it is "partial 16S ribosomal RNA". It matches the Rfam family "Bacterial small subunit ribosomal RNA", at positions 28 to 507 of the family's 1533-position model. The record is from RNAcentral.
GAUGAACGCUGGCGGCGUGCCUAAUACAUGCAAGUCGAGCGAACAGACGAGGAGCUUGCUCCUCUGACGUUAGCGGCGGACGGGUGAGUAACACAUGGAUAACCUACCUAUAAGACUGGGAUAACUUCGGGAAACCGGAGCUAAUACCGGAGAAUAUAUUGAACCGCAUGGUUCAAUAGUGAAAGACGGUUUUGCUGUCACGUAUAGAUGGAUCCGCGCCGCAUUAGCUAGUUGGUAAGGUAACGGCUUACCAAGGCGACGAUGCGUAGCCGACCUGAGAGGCUGAUAGGCCACACUGGAACUGAGACACGGUCCAGACUCCUACGGGAGGCAGCAGUAGGGAAUCUUCCGCAAUGGGCGAAAGCCUGACGGAGCAACGCCGCGUGAGUGAUGACGGUCUUCGGAUCGUAAAAAUCUGUUAUUAGGGAAGAACAAAUGUGUAAGUAACUAUGCACGUAUUGACGGUAACUAAUCAGAAAGCAACGGCUAACUACGUG